This 608-nucleotide unclassified non-coding RNA is filed under the name Hevea brasiliensis (rubber tree). Lineage: Eukaryota; Viridiplantae; Streptophyta; Magnoliopsida; Malpighiales; Euphorbiaceae. The record is from RNAcentral.
ACUUUCUCAUACUGGUCCAUCCAGUCCAGGUAAAAUGCCUAGCUGUAAAUUCUGGUCUCCAAGUCAAGGCAGCUGUAACCUUGCUUCUUAAUGCGCAGGAUUGACAUCUUCAGUGGUCCAGAAGUAAUCAAACGGAGAUCUUCGAACAAACUCAGCUUGCAUUCAACCUCCGGACUGUCAAGAAAUGGAGGAAGCAAGAAAGCUAACAGGUUUUUUUUUUUUUUUUUGAAAAAAAAAUGAGAAUCACAAGGGAGAAGGGAGUGAUGCCUGCAGUAUAGCUAGGGUUUUGAAGGCUUGUGUGUUAUGCAGGGAGAUAGAGAGAGGGAGGGAGUGAGAGGUUGUGCAUCAGGGACCAGAGAAUCAGAAGAAAGAAAAAGAUAGGGCGUUACUUAAAAACGACUCACUCCUCAGUCAAGAUGGAAGCUUGCAAUUUGCAAAAGUAGAGAUUAGAGAACCAUUUCCAUGGGCCAAAAAGUACAUUAUGGCCCUUGAAUUAUGAUGGAAUGUUUAAUUCAGCCCUAAUACUUGCAUUCAAUAACACCUUUUUAUAUCUUAGCCAUUAAUUGAUCACGCGCUAUCGCAUGACUGGAUGCCAUUAUCUGAAACCG